Long non-coding RNA from Gadus macrocephalus (Pacific cod), 367 nucleotides. RefSeq lists it as uncharacterized. The transcript has 2 exons. The record is from RefSeq and is a predicted model, not a curated record. NCBI's taxonomy places the organism in Eukaryota, Metazoa, Chordata, Actinopteri, Gadiformes, Gadidae.
AAGGCCUCCGCCUUCUUGGUCAUCUGCUCAGCCUCCGCCCGACCCUUCGCCUCCAGGGCAAACGCCUCCGCCUCGCCCUUCAUCUGGACAGCCACAGACACACGGGAGUGCACAUUAGGACUGAUUACAUAGCCUCGGAGUACGAGUAACCCGACUGAAGCCCAGGGGGUUGUGAACACUGAGGCCGCUCACCGGUUGGCCUCGGCCAGCUUCUCCAGGCGGUAUCUCUCGGCGUCGGCGGGCUUCUUGACGGUGGCCUCUAGCUCCAUCUCGCGGCGGGUGAUCUCCUGCUCCUGCAGCAGGAUCUGCUGCGAGCGCUCCACCACCUUCACCUGCAUCUUCUCCUCCUCGAUGCGCUGCUUGGUCU